GACGAACGCUGCCGGCGUGCUUAACACAUGCAAGUCGAACGGAAAGGCCCUGCUUUUGUGGGGUGCUCGAGUGGCGAACGGGUGAGUAACACGUGAGUAACCUGCCCUUGACUUUGGGAUAACUUCAGGAAACUGGGGCUAAUACCGGAUAGGGGCUCCUGCUGCAUGGUGGGGGUUGGAAAGUUUCGGCGGUUGGGAUGGACUCGCGGCUUAUCAGCCUGUUGGUGGGGUAGUGGCUUACCAAGGCUUUGACGGGUAGCCGGCCUGAGAGGGUGACCGGCCACAUUGGGACUGAGAUACGGCCCAGACUCCUACGGGAGGCAGCAGUGGGGAAUAUUGCACAAUGGGCGGAAGCCUGAUGCAGCAACGCCGCGUGCGGGAUGACGGCCUUCGGGUUGUAAACCGCUUUCGCCUGUGACGAAGCGUGAGUGACGGUAAUGGGUAAAGAAGCACCGGCUAACUACGUG
This 467-nucleotide ribosomal RNA is filed under the name uncultured bacterium. RNAcentral's name for it is "partial 16S ribosomal RNA". It matches the Rfam family "Bacterial small subunit ribosomal RNA", at positions 28 to 507 of the family's 1533-position model. The record is from RNAcentral.